RNAcentral lists this ribosomal RNA (761 nucleotides) under uncultured Weissella sp. Its description in RNAcentral is "bacterial SSU rRNA". It matches the Rfam family "Bacterial small subunit ribosomal RNA", at positions 100 to 847 of the family's 1533-position model. Lineage: Bacteria; Bacillati; Bacillota; Bacilli; Lactobacillales; Lactobacillaceae. The record is from RNAcentral.
GAACGGGUGAGUAACACGUGGGAAACCUACCUCUUAGCAGGGGAUAACAUUUGGAAACAGAUGCUAAUACCGUAUAACAAUGACAACCGCAUGGUUGUUAUUUAAAAGAUGGUUCUGCUAUCACUAAGAGAUGGUCCCGCGGUGCAUUAGCUAGUUGGUAAGGUAAUGGCUUACCAAGGCGAUGAUGCAUAGCCGAGUUGAGAGACUGAUCGGCCACAAUGGGACUGAGACACGGCCCAUACUCCUACGGGAGGCAGCAGUAGGGAAUCUUCCACAAUGGGCGAAAGCCUGAUGGAGCAACGCCGCGUGUGUGAUGAAGGGUUUCGGCUCGUAAAACACUGUUGUAAGAGAAGAAUGACAUUGAGAGUAACUGUUCAAUGUGUGACGGUAUCUUACCAGAAAGGAACGGCUAAAUACGUGCCAGCAGCCGCGGUAAUACGUAUGUUCCAAGCGUUAUCCGGAUUUAUUGGGCGUAAAGCGAGCGCAGACGGUUAUUUAAGUCUGAAGUGAAAGCCCUCAGCUCAACUGAGGAAUUGCUUUGGAAACUGGAUGACUUGAGUGCAGUAGAGGAAAGUGGAACUCCAUGUGUAGCGGUGAAAUGCGUAGAUAUAUGGAAGAACACCAGUGGCGAAAGCGGCUUUCUGGACUGUAACUGACGUUGAGGCUCGAAAGUGUGGGUAGCAAACAGGAUUAGAUACCCUGGUAGUCCACACCGUAAACGAUGAGUGCUAGGUGUUUGAGGGUUUCCGCCCUUAAGUGCC